CAUGCAAGUCUAACGAGCGAGAGAGAGCUUGCUUUCUCGAGCGAGCGGCGAACGGGUGAGUAACGCGUGAGGAACCUGCCUCAAAGAGGGGGACAACAGUUGGAAACGACUGCUAAUACCGCAUAAGCCCACGGCUCGGCAUCGAGCAGAGGGAAAAGGAGCAAUCCGCUUUGAGAUGGCCUCGCGUCCGAUUAGCUAGUUGGUGAGGUAACGGCCCACCAAGGCGACGAUCGGUAGCCGGACUGAGAGGUUGAACGGCCACAUUGGGACUGAGACACGGCCCAGACUCCUACGGGAGGCAGCAGUGGGGAAUAUUGCACAAUGGGGGAAACCCUGAUGCAGCGACGCCGCGUGGAGGAAGAAGGUCUUCGGAUUGUAAACUCCUGUUGUUGAGGAAGAUAAUGACGGUACUCAACAAGGAAGUGACGGCUAACUACGUGCCAGCAGCCGCGGUAAAACGUAGGUCACAAGCGUUGUCCGGAAUUACUGGGUGUAAAGGGAGCGCAGGCGGGAAGACAAGUUGGAAGUGAAAUCCAUGGGCUCAACCCAUGAACCGCUUUCAAAACUGUUUUUCUUGAGUAGUGCAGAGGUAGGCGGAAUUCCCGGUGUAGCGGUGGAAUGCGUAGAUAUCGGGAGGAACACCAGUGGCGAAGGCGGCCUACUGGGCACCAACUGACGCUGAGGCUCGAAAGUGUGGGUAGCAAACAGGAUUAGAUACCCUGGUAGUCCACACUGUAAACGAUGAUUACUAGGUGUUGGAGGAUUGACCCCUUCAGUGCCGCAGUUAACACAAUAAGUAAUCCACCUGGGGAGUACGACCGCA
Molecule: ribosomal RNA, 823 nt
Filed under: uncultured Bacillota bacterium
Lineage: Bacteria; Bacillati; Bacillota
Description: bacterial SSU rRNA
Rfam family: Bacterial small subunit ribosomal RNA
Source: RNAcentral